ACCGGUUUGGAAAAAAUCCGAUUUUUUUCGGAAGUCAAAAGGCAAUUCCGAAAAUUUCGGAAUAGAAAAACUCAUUCCGAUUCCGAUUCCGAAAAUUCCGGUCGGAAAUUCGGAAUUUUCGGAAUCGACGGUUUACGGUGACUCUGUUGCUUUUCCGCGACGGAGCAACGACGAUGGAGCGAUUUUGAGGCAAACUCAUUUCCUAUUCCAAAGACACCCUCUUCCGCAAAGAAUCUUUCAAAUCUUGAAAAUGCUUGUGAAAUGAUGAACGGGCGGAUCU
RNAcentral lists this long non-coding RNA (280 nucleotides) under Erythranthe guttata (spotted monkey flower). RNAcentral's name for it is "long non-coding RNA (EGUT_LNC000568)". The record is from RNAcentral. Lineage: Eukaryota; Viridiplantae; Streptophyta; Magnoliopsida; Lamiales; Phrymaceae.